AGAGAAUGUCAGUACUAGAGGCAG
RNAcentral lists this microRNA (24 nucleotides) under Gossypium raimondii (Peruvian cotton). RNAcentral describes it as "gra-miR8686". Lineage: Eukaryota; Viridiplantae; Streptophyta; Magnoliopsida; Malvales; Malvaceae. The record is from miRBase by way of RNAcentral.